This 253-nucleotide ribosomal RNA is filed under the name uncultured bacterium. Its description in RNAcentral is "partial 16S ribosomal RNA". It matches the Rfam family "Bacterial small subunit ribosomal RNA", at positions 524 to 776 of the family's 1533-position model. The record is from RNAcentral.
UACGUAGGUGGCGAGCGUUGUCCGGAAUUACUGGGUGUAAAGGGCGUGUAGGCAGGAGAGCAAGUCAGAUGUGAAAUACCGAAGCUUAACUUCGGGGCUGCAUCUGAAACUGUUUUUCUUGAGUGUCGGAGAGGAAAGUGGAAUUCCCAGUGUAGCGGUGAAAUGCGUAGAUAUUGGGAGGAACACCAGUGGCGAAGGCGACUUUCUGGACGAUAACUGACGCUGAGGCGCGAAAGCGUGGGGAGCAAACAGG